UACAGAGGUCUCAAGCGUUGUUCGGAUUCAUUGGGCGUAAAGGGUGCGUAGGUGGCGGGGUAAGUCAGGUGUGAAAUCUCGGAGCUCAACUCCGAAACUGCACUUGAUACUGCCUUGCUCGAGUACUGGAGAGGAGAUUGGAAUUUACGGUGUAGCGGUGAAAUGCGUAGAUAUCGUAAGGAAGACCAGUGGCGAAGGCGGGUCUCUGGACAGUUCCUGACGCUGAGGCACGAAGGUCAGGGGAGCAAACGGG
This 253-nucleotide ribosomal RNA is filed under the name uncultured bacterium. RNAcentral's name for it is "partial 16S ribosomal RNA". It matches the Rfam family "Bacterial small subunit ribosomal RNA", at positions 524 to 776 of the family's 1533-position model. The record is from RNAcentral.